GUGAAUCAUCGAAUCUUUGAACGCACAUUGCGCCCCUUGGUAUUCCGGGGGGCAUGCCUGUUCGAGCGUCAUUAUACAUCUCAAGCCUGGCUUGGUGCUGGGGCCUACGGUUAGCUGUAGCCUUCAAAGUUAGUGGCGGUGCUAUUAGGUUCUAAGCGUAGUAAUAAUUCUCGCUAUUGAGCCCUAACGAGCAUUAGCCAGGAACCCCAAUUCUUUCUAGUUGACCUCGGAUCAGGUAGGGAUACCCGCUGAACUUAAGCAUAUCAAUAAGCGGAGGA
RNAcentral lists this unclassified non-coding RNA (278 nucleotides) under Hyaloscypha sp. RNAcentral describes it as "partial contains 5.8S ribosomal RNA, internal transcribed spacer 2, and large subunit ribosomal RNA". The stretch from base 1 to 71 matches the Rfam family "5.8S ribosomal RNA", at positions 84 to 154 of the family's 154-position model. Lineage: Eukaryota; Fungi; Ascomycota; Leotiomycetes; Helotiales; Hyaloscyphaceae. The record is from RNAcentral.